UAUUAAAAUUUUCAUCCAUUUUUACUGUUAAAAAUUGGCAUGACCGACAGAAUAAUUGAAUAGUGUCAUGUGGUUGCCACGUGUAUCUUAUACUGAUGUAUAGGUACUAAUUUUUAACAGUAGAAGAAAUUUUUAACA
This is a non-coding RNA of Gossypium raimondii (Peruvian cotton), 138 nucleotides long. Lineage: Eukaryota; Viridiplantae; Streptophyta; Magnoliopsida; Malvales; Malvaceae. The record is from Rfam.